CGUGCACGUAGCGUGCUCCGGUCGCGCUGUGAUUUGACUAUAUAAUUAGUGACGUAUCCUACAUAACAUAGUAGGAUACGUCACUAAUUAUAUAGUCAAAUCACAGCGCGACCGGAGCACGCUACGUGCACG
Non-coding RNA from Paramuricea clavata, 132 nucleotides. The record is from the annotation of a GenBank genome assembly. Lineage: Eukaryota; Metazoa; Cnidaria; Anthozoa; Malacalcyonacea; Plexauridae.